RNAcentral lists this transfer RNA (66 nucleotides) under Heteroteuthis hawaiiensis. RNAcentral describes it as "tRNA-Trp". RNAcentral also lists the same sequence under 1 other name. The record is from RNAcentral. Lineage: Eukaryota; Metazoa; Mollusca; Cephalopoda; Sepiida; Sepiolidae.
AAGAUUUUAAGUUAAUUAAACUGAAGACUUUCAAGGUCUUUUAUAAAUAUAUAAGUUUAAGUCUUG